AAAACUUUCAACAACGGAUCUCUUGGUUCUGGCAUCGAUGAAGAACGCAGCGAAAUGCGAUAAGUAAUGUGAAUUCGCAGAAUUCCCGUGAAUCAUCGAAUCUUUGAACGCACAUUGCGCCCUUUGGUAUUCCGAAGGNCAUGCCUGUUCGAGCGUCAUU
This 160-nucleotide ribosomal RNA is filed under the name Physcia alnophila. RNAcentral describes it as "5.8S ribosomal RNA". It matches the Rfam family "5.8S ribosomal RNA". Rfam says of the family: 5.8S ribosomal RNA (5.8S rRNA) is a component of the large subunit of the eukaryotic ribosome. It is transcribed by RNA polymerase I as part of the 45S precursor that also contains 18S and 28S rRNA. The record is from RNAcentral. Lineage: Eukaryota; Fungi; Ascomycota; Lecanoromycetes; Caliciales; Physciaceae.